CUCGCACGCGUGGCCCCAUUAUCUAUUCAUGUGUUGCCUGAUAAAGAUGUUGCUGCGACCUGAGGAGAGGGUGUGGUGUGUGUGCUACAGAAGCAGGGCAGGUGAAAAGCCAGCCAAUGAAAAACGUGCUGUUGUCGGCUCAUUCACUGCCACAAAGCACUUUUAGCAACUUUAAGAGUCUAAAUACAUCUUUAAGCACUUUUUGAAACAGUUAGUUAACACAAACUAGCCAUCCAUCAGUAAUGGUGAUAGGCUCACUCAUACUUCACAGGAAGUGACCUCAUCUUGGCGCUCUACCGUUUGUGGCAUCCUGCAGAAGUCUUGGACCAACAUGUUUGUUUUGAUAUAAAAGGAGUCUAAGAAUUUCUGUGUGAUCUCAGUCUGAACAGGUGAAACUAGUUAUUCCUGACAGGUUUGCACCUUUACCUGAGUGUGUAACAAAACACUCUCUUCAGUCAGCAUCACCUUUAGUCCCCACUGCUAGGAGCACCUGGACAGCUGGACACAGGUAGAGUUGGCCCAUGUUGUCUCCUUCCUGUCAUUAAAGGUCUCUCAGAGACAACAAUUUACACCUUUUAUGACAAUAAAGCUUCAGUUAAACAGUCACACUGCAUCUGUUAGUGCCAGAGCUCUGCCCAGACAAUAACAGUCCUUCCAAGGAACUCUUUGCCCCUCCCACUUUGCUGAUGUAAUGUGAUGACUCAGGAGUGUUCCUCAUCUUAAAGUGGAGCGCAAAAGUAUAAAAGAGGUCAUAGCGUGCAGGGUCACUCAUUCGAUCACUUCACACCGUGACAGCAAGGAGACGACAACAUGGACGGUCUGCAGGUGAGCAUUGCAUGUCUGCUGGUGAAGAUGACCUUUGUACAAGGGGUUGCAGGGAGCUGUCCCACCUGUGCACCAGGUUUCUUCCUAGUGAAGAACUGCUCCAAGACUGUAGGGAUCGGGUGCAAAGACUGUACUGAUUGCUCGGCUUUACAUCGGGACACUCUAUCUGAGUGCACGCAGUGGACUGAUGCUGUGUGCGGGAACCAAACUGUGACCACGGUGACAGUCACCACGGUGACCACUGCUGGACCUCCUGUCUUCCCUGGUGAAAUGUGGAUCAUCCUAAGUGUGAUAUCAGUGUCUGUGUUCCUGGUUCUGGUGCUCGCUCUGGUUCUCUCAAUGCUAUCCCAGCGGUACAAGCAAAAGAAAGCUUUGUACCUGCCCUGAAUGAAAGCAAGUCAUUCUGAAUGCCUCUCAGCACCAACGUCUUAGGGACAAGCCACUGUCCAUGAUGGCCAAAGCAGCAGAUCCAGCUCUCAGAAACCAGAAACGUGGAGUCCAGGUCCAGGGCAGGUUUAGAGUCCAGGUCCUGGGUGGAUUAAAGACCAGGUCCAGGCCGGGCUCAUGAGUCCAGGUCCAGGUCGAGCUCAUCAUUCCAGGUCCUGAGUGGAUCAGAGUCCAGGUCCUGGGUGGGAUUAAAGUCCAGGUCCUGUCCGGGGUCAGAGUCCACCUGUAGACUGGUUUGAUCCACCCAUUAUACUUCACAUCGAGGCCACCCUAUAAGAAUACAAAUGUAGACCAGGUGUAGACUAGGUGUAGUUCAGGUGUGAAGUAAGGUUAGAUUCCAGGUGUAAGACAGGUGUAGACUAGUUGUAGCCAGAUGUGGCGUAACUGUAGACUAGACGUAGUCCAAGUCCUAGGAAGAAUUUAAUUUCAGGUGAAGUCUGGGUCCACUUCAUUAACACGUAGCCCAGGUGUAGCUCAGAUGUAGCUCACACAUAGACCAGGUGUAGCUCAGGUGUAGAGAAAGUGCAGCUCGGAUGUAGCUCACACAUAGACCAGGUGUAGCUCAGGUGUAGAGAAAGUGUAGCUCGGGUGUAGCUCACACAUAGACCAGGUGUAGCUCAGGUGUAGAGAAAGUGUAGCUCGGGUGUAGCUCACACAUAGACCAGGUGUAGCUCAGGUGUAGAGAAAGUGCAGCUCGGGUGUAGCUCACACAUAGACCAGGUGUAGCUCAGGUGUAGAGAAAGUGCAGCUCGGGUGUAGCUCACACAUAGACCAGGUGUAGCUUGGGUCUAUAAAAUAAGUCUGUAAUUUGUCACAGCUCACCCAGAACCCCCCCACCCCCACCCCAGCAUCCUCCCGAUCAGCUGUUUCAUUUCCUAUAUGUCCCAUAAUGCAACUUUACCUCUGCAGAGGCGUCAAACUGAGAGUAACGUGUGUAAAAUCAGUGGAAUGACCUUUAACCCUUUCACUGUGAGUGUGAGAUGUCUGGAUGAGCUAUUUCAGUCAGUAGUGAUGCUUAUUUAUUGAUUCUGGAUCAAUAAAUCUGAUCACCUCUGUAAACUGAACGUGUUGUAAACCUAAAUCUCUUUUAAAUGUUGAAGUCAUUAUGUACUUGUGUGCUCCUGUUUAUUCAGAAAUCUGUGACAGUUUUAUACUUUAAACUUUCUUUGGUACUUCAGGUGUGUAUUAGAUAAUCUGCUGUAUGAACAGAGUGUGUGUUUGUAUCACAUAAUAAACUCUAAACUAAAAACAUAAUGACUCUCGCCAUGGAUUCAUCUGUUUUAUUGUAAGCUAGGAGGUUGUAAUGUCAGGCUCACAGAAGAAGAUUUACUGUUUCCAGGAUUAAUUUACUCCCACAGAUGUAAUAUUAUCUACAGCUACUCUUAGUACCAUUGAUGUUAAGUUAGACUCUUUUUCUCCAAUUGAUCUUUCUGAGUUAACUUCAAUAAUUACUUCCUCCAAACCAUCAACCUGUCUUUUAG
Molecule: long non-coding RNA, 2753 nt
Organism: Astatotilapia calliptera (eastern happy)
Lineage: Eukaryota; Metazoa; Chordata; Actinopteri; Cichliformes; Cichlidae
Source: Ensembl